RNAcentral lists this ribosomal RNA (1016 nucleotides) under Loigolactobacillus coryniformis. RNAcentral's name for it is "bacterial SSU rRNA". It matches the Rfam family "Bacterial small subunit ribosomal RNA", at positions 246 to 1251 of the family's 1533-position model. Lineage: Bacteria; Bacillati; Bacillota; Bacilli; Lactobacillales; Lactobacillaceae. The record is from RNAcentral.
CGGUUGGUAAGGUAACGGCUUACCAAGACAAUGAUACGUAGCCGACCUGAGAGGGUAAUCGGCCACAUUGGGACUGAGACACGGCCCAAACUCCUACGGGAGGCAGCAGUAGGGAAUCUUCCACAAUGGACGAAAGUCUGAUGGAGCAACGCCGCGUGAGUGAAGAAGGUUUUAGGAUCGUAAAACUCUGUUGUUGGAGAAGAACAGGGACUAGAGUAACUGUUAGUCCUUUGACGGUAUCCAACCAGAAAGCCACGGCUAACUACGUGCCAGCAGCCGCGGUAAUACGUAGGUGGCAAGCGUUGUCCGGAUUUAUUGGGCGUAAAGCGAGCGCAGGCGGUUUUUUAAGUCUGAUGUGAAAGCCUUUCGGCUUAACCGAAGAAGUGCAUUAGAAACUGGGAAACUUGAGUGCAGAAGAGGACAGUGGAACUCCAUGUGUAGCGGUGAAAUGCGUAGAUAUAUGGAAGAACACCAGUGGCGAAGGCGGCUGUCUGGUCUGUAACUGACGCUGAGGCUCGAAAGUAUGGGGAGCGAACAGGAUUAGAUACCCUGGUAGUCCAUACCGUAAACGAUGAAUGCUAAGUGUUGGAGGGUUUCCGCCCUUCAGUGCUGCAGCUAACGCAUUAAGCAUUCCGCCUGGGGAGUACGACCGCAAGGUUGAAACUCAAAGGAAUUGACGGGGGCCCGCACAAGCGGUGGAGCAUGUGGUUUAAUUCGAAGCAACGCGAAGAACCUUACCAGGUCUUGACAUCCUUUGACCACUGUAGAGAUACAGCUUUCCCUUCGGGGACAAAGUGACAGGUGGUGCAUGGUUGUCGUCAGCUCGUGUCGUGAGAUGUUGGGUUAAGUCCCGCAACGAGCGCAACCCUUAUGACUAGUUGCCAGCAUUUAGUUGGGCACUCUAGUAAGACUGCCGGUGACAAACCGGAGGAAGGUGGGGAUGACGUCAAAUCAGCAUGCCCCUUAUUGACCUGGGCUACACACGUGGCUCACAAUGGUCGGUUCACACCACGAGU